UACGGAGGGUGCGAGCGUUAAUCGGAAUUACUGGGCGUAAAGGGUGCGUAGGUGGUUUUUUAAGUCAGCUGUAAAAUAUUUGGGCUCAACCUAAAUUUGUUGGCUGAUACUGGGGAACUUGAGUACGGGAGAGGGUAGUGGAAUUUCCGGUGUAGCGGUGAAAUGCGUAGAUAUCGGAAGGAACACCGGUGGCGAAGGCGGCUACCUGGCCUGAUACUGACACUGAGGCACGAAAGCGUGGGGAGCAAACAGG
This 253-nucleotide ribosomal RNA is filed under the name uncultured bacterium. RNAcentral's name for it is "partial 16S ribosomal RNA". It matches the Rfam family "Bacterial small subunit ribosomal RNA", at positions 524 to 776 of the family's 1533-position model. The record is from RNAcentral.